This 258-nucleotide ribosomal RNA is filed under the name Cladonia squamosa. Its description in RNAcentral is "partial 18S ribosomal RNA". Lineage: Eukaryota; Fungi; Ascomycota; Lecanoromycetes; Lecanorales; Cladoniaceae. The record is from RNAcentral.
AGGUAUAGGUUUGCCUACUGAAGCCCUUUAGCCAGCGACUCUAAAGAAAAUCAGCUAUAGUCGCCCCCUUUUGGGGGUUGGCGACGCUAUUCAAUUCUGUGUCUGGAAGUGCUCCCUACUAUGGGAGUACCACCAGCAGCUCGUUGCAUUCGAGUUCACAGGUCAAACGAUAGCGGCCACUUUUGGUGGUUGAGAUAUGAUCGGCCUCCAGCUGUCCACCUAGCUGGGGAGAUUUGCGGAACCUGCGGAAGGAUCAUU